Molecule: non-coding RNA, 55 nt
Filed under: Rhodomonas sp. CCMP768
Lineage: Eukaryota; Cryptophyceae; Pyrenomonadales; Pyrenomonadaceae
Source: RNAcentral
GCUGGACAGAGCAGGGUGCGGCGUCGCUUCCGCUUGCGGCAGGAAACGCGCCGGA